Molecule: ribosomal RNA, 500 nt
Filed under: uncultured bacterium
Lineage: Bacteria
Description: partial 16S ribosomal RNA
Rfam family: Bacterial small subunit ribosomal RNA
Source: RNAcentral
AUUGAACGCUGGCGGAAUGCUUUACACAUGCAAGUCGAACGGCAGCACGGGGGCAACCCUGGUGGCGAGUGGCGAACGGGUGAGUAAUACAUCGGAACGUGCCCAGUCGUGGGGGAUAACGUAGCGAAAGUUACGCUAAUACCGCAUACGAUCUACGGAUGAAAGCGGGGGAACGUAAGGCCUCGCGCGAUUGGAGCGGCCGAUGUCAGAUUAGGUAGUUGGUGAGGUAAAGGCUCACCAAGCCGACGAUCUGUAGCUGGUCUGAGAGGACGACCGGGCACACUGGGACUGAGACACGGCCCAGACUCCUACGGGAGGCAGCAGUGGGGAAUUGUGGACAAUGGGCGCGAGCCUGAUCCAGCCAUUCCGCGUGCAGGACGAAGGCCUUCGGGUUGUAAACUGCUUUUGUACGGAACGAAAAGGCUCUGGUUAAUACCUGGGGCUCAUGACGGUACCGUAAGAAUAAGCACCGGCUAACUACGUGCCAGCCGCCGCCGUAA